This 76-nucleotide transfer RNA is filed under the name Rhodococcus phage NiceHouse. Its description in RNAcentral is "tRNA-Pro". It matches the Rfam family "tRNA". Rfam says of the family: Transfer RNA (tRNA) molecules are approximately 80 nucleotides in length. Lineage: Duplodnaviria; Heunggongvirae; Uroviricota; Caudoviricetes. The record is from RNAcentral.
CGGGAUAUAGCUCAGUUUGGUCAGAGUGCUCGGUUUGGGGCCGAGAUGCCGUAGGUUCGAAUCCUACUAUCCCGAC